UACGUAGGUGGCAAGCGAUACUCGAAAUCACUAGGCGUAAAGCGCAGGUAGGUGGUUUGGUAAGUCUGUUGUGAAAGCUCCCGGCUUAACUGGGAGAGGUCAACGGAAACUACCAGGCUAGAGUGCGGUAGAGGUAGCUGGAAUUCCCGGUGUAGCGGUGAAAUGCGUAGAUAUCGGGAGGAAUACCUAUGGCGAAAGCAGGCUACUGGACCGUCACUGACUCUGAUCUGCGAAAGCUGGGGGAGCAAACAGG
RNAcentral lists this ribosomal RNA (253 nucleotides) under uncultured bacterium. RNAcentral's name for it is "partial 16S ribosomal RNA". It matches the Rfam family "Bacterial small subunit ribosomal RNA", at positions 524 to 776 of the family's 1533-position model. The record is from RNAcentral.